This 1620-nucleotide long non-coding RNA is filed under the name Homo sapiens (human). RNAcentral describes it as "HSALNT0102246". Lineage: Eukaryota; Metazoa; Chordata; Mammalia; Primates; Hominidae. The record is from RNAcentral.
CUCAUGAAUUUGCCUCUCUACGCGUGACCAGUGACACCGUUGAGAGCUAAUGUGGCUUAAAGGAAUAUUGUUUCCCUGUUUGGAUCACCCAGGCAUCACCCAGCAUGAGUCCUAUGGGCAACAUCCUACCUGGGAUGUGUCACAUGCCAUUCUUCUGAUUUUCAUGAAUAUCCUCUAAAAGGCAGCUAAGCACUCGCUGUCUUCUUCCUUUUGCCUCAUCAAGCACGGGGGACGCUGGAAGGAAGAGGUAAUGAAGCUGAUGCUUAGAGAGGUUGAGUAAUCCACCCAUGUCUCUCUGACCCAGGUCUGACCACCAUACUAUUGCCUGCAGAUGAAGAGGAGCAACAUAUUGUAUCCUGUGUUGCUCAAGAGAGCAGAAUUAGGACUUAGAAUAGCCUUCUAAGAAUUGCUCUGUGCCACCAAAUGGGUGGCAGACUUCUAGACAAGUUUUCUAAACUUGUCAGCCUCAACUACAAGUGAGCUGGUGAGAGAAAACAAACAUCACUAUCCAGGGGCUUUUGCUGGACUUACUGAAUGUAACAGAGAUCGGAUUGGAUUGUCUCUAAUGUCUGUUUCACGAAUAGAGUUCUGUAAAUAGUCUGUCUUUUCUGAAGCCAUUGUAUUUUCAGUAUUAGGUCAUUUAGUUGACUGAAAGUGUGUAUUCUGUAAAGAGAGAAAGGGAUGGGGAGAGAAAGGAGACUGUUACUUUUAUUUUCAUGUCCUUUGCUCUCCCACAUGCAUACUCCACCUCUAGCUCUUACACUCAAACAUCUACACUUGCAGCUUACUGUAGAUGCCACUGUCCUUUUCCACAUUUGCACAAGUAGAUUUCUCACUCCCAACCCUUAUUUUGAAAAUAAGGUGUUUCUACAUCUUUCAUUUUAUUUUUAAAAAUAAAAGUUGGACCACAGUUUAGAUAUAUUAAUCACUUUUCCCAGAACUCAUGUUUGGUCAUCUAAAAGCCUGUGUCUAAAAGUUGUGAGGAAUAGUUGAAGCUUUCAUCAAUGUAAAGGUUGGGUAAUACUCUACUGCCAAAAGUAGUUAAUUAAUUUCUGCAGAGUUAAGGUAGUAGAAAUGGGAGCUCUCAUCUGUUUUGAGAAAUGUGUACAAAAUUAAUGUUUUCCCAGAGAAGCAUUUUCCAAUGUCUCCAUCUAAUUUGGCUCCAUUCUGAAGAGAAGCACAAUGAUGCUUCAGCAACUUGAAAUUUUACUAAGUGAACUAACUAAUCCUGCCUUUGAAACAGUGGACUGGGGCUCAAAAGACAAGCUUCUUAGACUAAUACUGGGCACUUUCUCUUUUCUCACUCUCUCUUUAUUCCCUUUUCUUUCUCCUUCUCUUGUUCCAUCUUUUCACUUUGGAAACUAUUAGGUUUCAAAAAUGCAUCUGUAGCUGUUUAUUUUACAUGUGCCUGAUUUUAUGAGUUUAUGGGCUCCUGAAAAUUAAAUUAAUUUUAAAUGAGCUUUAAUUACUAAUGCUUUGGGCCAUUGCCUUUAACAAAGUCAACAUAACAAUCAGGGUUACCUUAGUUUGUCUCUUUGAAGAAUGUAGUCAUUCAUUUGGGCUCUUAUUGAGCAGAGCAGCUUUCUAACUGGAAAAACAAAUAAAUAAAAUAAAACCACU